AUGUACUUUGGGAUGAAAAUACACCAAACACACGUUUACAAUACAUUUGGGAUUUUGACUCUGUUUUCUAUUUAUUUUGUGUGCGUGCGUUUGUAUCUGGGUAGGGAAGGGAUGUGCCACACUGCACCUGUGGAAGUGAGAGGACAACCUGCAGUCCUCAGUUCUCUCUUUCUGCCGUGUAAGGCGUAGAGCUUGAACUUGGGUCAUCAGACUUAGUGUGAAGUGCCAUUAUCCACUGCUGGGGGAUGACGUCUUUCUGUAUGCUGUGAGUAUGUGUCGCUCUGAUUGGUUGACAAAUAAAGCUGCAUUGGCGUAUGGCAAGACCGCUUCCAGGCAGGCAGGAAAUCCAAGCAGACAGAGAGAAGAAAGGAGAGGAGAGGGAGACGCCAGCUGAAGCCAAAGGAGAAGCAAGAUGCCAGCAGACCGGUAAUGCCAUGGCCAUGUGGCAAAACACAGAUUAAUAGAAAUGGGGUUCAUUUAAGAAGAAAGAGCUAGCUAGCAAGAAGCCUGCCCUAGGUCAUACAGUUUGUAAAUAAUAUUAAGCCUCUGAAUGAUUAUUUUAUAAGUGGCUGCAGGACUGCAGGGCCAGGAGAGACCAGAAAAACCUUCAGGCUAUAAUCCAUGAUCCAUCUCACUGCCCAAAACACAUUUAUACACACACACACACACACACACACACACACACACACACACACACACACACACGUAUUACCUUAAUGAUAGAGAACUACACACCCAAGUGAUAACAUUGUCACCUCACUACUGUUAUUAAAGAAAUCAUGACAUGAAAAGGCUGACUUUGCCUACCUUUGUAUCGAAGUUUGGUAAACAGAAUUGGGGAAGAAAACUAGUCAGGAGGAAGAGGCAGCAAUACCCGGGUGAAUAGGCGCAUACAAGCUUGCCAGGAAGUGUGGUACCUCUGCCAAGAGGAAUCGAUCCACGUUCAUUGUGAAUGAGUCCACUUAAGGCCCACCAAAUUAGAAACCUUGGAGUUGGCACAGCAACGGAUUUAAAAGCCUCCAGGUAAACCUGAGUCAUGCUAAAGUUUCAGACAAUGAACUUGCUCACCAUGGGAGGAAAAAAAAGAAAUAAACAAAGAAACCAUUUUUUUUUUUAAAUCCAGGCAUAGUAAAUAAGCCCACACCUGUAAUUCCAGCAUUCUGCAAGCUGAAGCAAAAGGAUCAUGGGUGUUGGGCCUUCUUGGCCCUCAGAGCAAGAGCCUGUCUCCCAAAACAAAAACAUAAAAGCAUCUUUAAUAACUAUCUCAGUUUACCUGUUGGCUAUAUUUAGCUGGAAAAUGUUCAAGGUCGCUUAAGCUGCUAGCAAAGUUCUCUCGUGCACAUAGUAAAUGAGCAUUCUUUUCGAAGCGGGUGUGCCAUGUUGAGGGAGACAACGAACUGACCUAUAACAAGGUCCCAACGUUCAUCCAGUACACAAGUGUUACAACUCAAGAGAGGUGGGCUGACUUCAGUGCUAAGCAAAUGGGAAGACCAAUCAAUGCGUGAGCCCGGAGAAUACGCCAGACAGCAAGAGUUAGGCCUUCUCUUCUCAUACCCGAGAAGCCUAACUUUGAACUCUGCCACGAACUUUUAAUAAGAGACAGAAAACCCAUAAUUAUAGCUCAUCCACCCGGAGGUUUGCUGGCUUGGGAAAUGGUUUAAUGAUUAUAUUGAAAGUGGGGGAGACUAGGGGUGAAUAAAUUAUACUCAGACAAACAUGCACUACCAAAAGAAUGUUUCGACCUUGGCCCAAGGACAUCCCUGUGUCCUGGUUUUGGCAUCUGCUCCAUCACUUGCAACAGGCUGAAUGAUGAUGAUCAAGUUCUCUUUUAAUCAUGUUUUGUGUACCCAAAUCCAUAUGUAAUUACCAAAACGCCUCCUAUGAGGAAUUUAACAAUGCAAUAAUUCAGGUCUGAGGCAUUCCCUAGGACAUGCGGGAGUAGCUUGAUGACUUCUCUAGCAAGGAAAUGAGCAACAGAGCAAGAAAGCAGUUCAGAGUACACAUGGUGAGCACAUGCCCUGUGCAAUGCAUUCUUAAACUCAGAACUACAAUCUGAAACAUCACCAAAGAAAACACUUCGUUUUCCUGUUCAAAGAAGGAGGUUCCUGAGCAAACUGAACCCACCACGGUGAAGUCACCCUCCUGGAGCCGAAUUCUUGUCCAGCACUCAGUUCCUUGACCCCACACUGAAAUCCAACCCGAAUGUGUGCUUACAGGCAAGCUAGUGUACAAGCAAAAACACCCACGACCCGCUGAUCCGCUAGGAGGGUGUCUCUGGAUACCAAUUUAGUGGAGCUGUGGGAGUGUAGUGGGUCAAGGUAUAUUUUUAAAGGUCUUUGGAAAUUGCAUGUCUCUAAUCCGGAUCUGGGGGUGGGGGCGGGGGGAGACUCCAAGUAAGGGAUGCCGGUGGCGUUUGCAGACUGCAGCGGGGAGGCGAUGCAGCCUGCAGCGGAGCACCGCCAGUCCUCCAUCCGCUUCCAACCGCUUGGCAGGCUAGACGCCCCGUGACGAGCGCUCCAGUCCGGGUUCCCCUUUCCACCGCCAUGUAGGGAAAGGGAGGAUGGAGCGGCAGUCCGCCCCCGCCGCACACAGCAUCCGCCCACUUGGCGGUGAACUUGAGCCAGCAGCGGUUAACCCGGCCGGGGGUUCUGGGCCUCAGCCGGCGCCGACGCCAAACGCCAGAGGCUCCCUCAGGUGGGGCGCAAGCCUCGAUGCGCCGCCCUUCCCGGCUCUGCUCCCCCAACCCGCCCCUCUCUAGGGCGGCGGCCCCGGGGACCCUUUCCCAAGGGCGUAGGCGGGCAGGCGGGUGGGGGACGCGAGCCCCCCGGGGCGCGGGCACCUUCCCCCCCAAAGUCGCUGCAGCGCUGCCCAGAGCCCCGACCGCUUCUCAGCGCUGCACGCACAGCUUGUCUUCAUCUCGCCCCAUCAGGGAAGCGGAUGGAGAAGCAAAGACAGACAAGACAGACAGACGGCCCGUGGCGCGGGCGAGCCUGAAACCCGACCGUCUCCGAGCCCCGGGGCACGGCGCCGCGCUGCAGAUGCCAGAAGAAAAUGAAAAUAUAUGAGCUACACGGUCAGAAAGAGCUCACCCCCAGGAAUGAAAAUGAGAGUCAUGUUAAAGGGCUAAGAAAACUUCAGGAGGAAAACCCAGCAAUCUAGUGCAUUCAUCUUCAUUCUCAGCCUCUCCAGUGAGAGGGAGAGACUGCCAUGAUUGACUUUUAUCCCUCUGGAACUGUAAGCCAAAGUAAGUUCUUCCUUAAAUAAUUUGCUGCUUUUGGUCAUGGUUUUUUGUCACUGCAACAGAUAAGUAACUAAUAGAGACGCUGGUACCAGAGAGUAGGCUAUUGCUGUGAAGCACAUGACCAUAUUGUUUUGAGGGGGAAUGUGCAAGACUGGAAAUAUGGACGAGAAAAGCAGUUGAGUACUUUAAGUGGUAAUCCUAAUAAGACCUGAAAGACACCAGUGCUGAGAGCAGUGAGGACUCAGGAGGCCCAGCUCAAGAGGUUCCAGAGAAAAACAAUAUUAGUAAUUGGGUUAGAAGCCAUUCUUGUGAUGGUUGGGCAAAGAGUCUGACCACCUUCUGCUUUUAUCCUAAGAACUUGCCUACUGUGGGAUGGUCUUUAUGUCAAAUGUGUUGCUGAUUGGUCAAUAAAUAAAUCACUGAUUGGCCCGUGGCCAGGCAGGAAGUAUAGGCGGGACAAGGAGGAGAAUAGAGCUGGGAAGUGGAAGGCUCAGGGGAGACACUGCCAGCCGCCAUCAGGACAAGAAAGAUGUAAAGUACCGGUAAGCCACAAGCCACGUGGCAAGGUAUAGAUUAAUAGAAAUGGAUUAAUUUAAGCUGUAAGAACAGUUAGCAAGAAGCCUGCCACGGCCAUAUAGUUUGUAACCAAUAUAAGUCUCUGUGUUUACUUGAUCGGGUUUGAGCGGCUUGGGACUGGUGGGUGAGAGAGAUUUGUCCUGACUGUGGGCCAGGCAGGAAAACUCCAGCAACAAAUGGCGUCCAACGUGGUGGCAAGAGUUUCCACCUAAAACCUGAGAAAAAAGAUUCUAAAACGGAGCUAAAAACAGCUUCCUAAUUGUCUCUCUCAAAUGAGCGGCAGCUGCCGGUUUGAGCUACUGGCGGGUUCCUGGCGUGCGCGCUCGACCUGCAGUAUGAGGUCUCUGCAAGUGGCACAUUAAGCUACAUUGUGGAUUUAGCCUUUGCUAGUACAAAACAAAAAAAAAAGAGGUUUCUGGGCUACAUGCUGCUUGGAUAAAAGCAUAGACCCACGAUAGCUCCCAGAGCUGGUGGUAAGCAUACUGCCGCCAUGUUGGGAAACUGAGGUGGGCGGAGCCAGCAGCCACAGAUGCUACAGCUUAAAGCAACAGAUUCACAAUAAGACAGAUUCAGAUGUAAUAGUUUAAAAUGUGUGUAAAAUAUACGUAGGCUUGAAAGAGACAAAAAAAAGGUGAUAUAUACAGUAUAAAAACAAA
Molecule: long non-coding RNA, 4473 nt
Organism: Peromyscus californicus insignis
Lineage: Eukaryota; Metazoa; Chordata; Mammalia; Rodentia; Cricetidae
Exons: 2
Source: RefSeq, a predicted model, not a curated record